RNAcentral lists this ribosomal RNA (253 nucleotides) under uncultured bacterium. RNAcentral describes it as "partial 16S ribosomal RNA". It matches the Rfam family "Bacterial small subunit ribosomal RNA", at positions 524 to 776 of the family's 1533-position model. The record is from RNAcentral.
UACGAAGGGGGCUAGCGUUGUUCGGAAUUACUGGGCGUAAAGCGCGCGCAGGCGGCUAUCCAAGUCAGUGGUGAAAGCCCGGAGCUCAACUCCGGAACUGCCAUUGAAACUGUUUAGCUUGAGGAUGAGAGAGGUGAGUGGAAUUCCCAGUGUAGAGGUGAAAUUCGUAGAUAUUGGGAAGAACACCAGUGGCGAAGGCGGCUCACUGGUCCGGUACUGACGCUGAGGUGCGAAAGCGUGGGGAGCAAACAGG